GGAUGUGAGGGCGAUCUGACUGCAACAUCUGUCACCCCAAUGAUCACCAAGGUUGACUCAGUGAUCUUCUGGCUUAGAGGGUGUAACCUGCCUCCCUCACCACUCUGUGUGUGUCCCUCCUGAAGCUGCAUGCUCUGUGGAAGAGGACAGCCUUCCCAAAAUAGAGGAGGACUGGUCUUCAGUCAAGGGUAUAUGAGUAGCUGUGUUCCCCUGCCAGAACCUCAAAACAAAAUGGUCUACAUUGUGAUUAUCACUGUGUUAGCUGAAUCAUAUGAACCAAAUGGCAGUGCAUCCUGCACAGCAGCCUAGACUU
This 313-nucleotide small nuclear RNA is filed under the name Jaculus jaculus (lesser Egyptian jerboa). Its description in RNAcentral is "7SK RNA (ENSJJAG00000005038.1)". It matches the Rfam family "7SK RNA". From Rfam's summary of the family: 7SK was discovered as an abundant small nuclear RNA in the mid-70s but a possible function has only recently been suggested. Two independent studies have found that 7SK RNA binds the CDK9/cyclin T complex (known as elongation factor P-TEFb). Lineage: Eukaryota; Metazoa; Chordata; Mammalia; Rodentia; Dipodidae. The record is from Rfam by way of RNAcentral.